UCGAGGAUCUUCGGCAAUGGGCGCAAGCCUGACCGAGCGACGCCGCGUGCGGGAUGAAGGCCUUCGGGUUGUAAACCGCUGUCAGUGGGGAGGAAGGCUCCGUGAAGAGCGGAGUUUGACCUAUCCGCAGAGGAAGCAAGGGCUAAGUUCGUGCCAGCAGCCGCGGUAAGACGAACCUUGCUAACGUUAUUCGGAAUUACUGGGCUUAAAGGGUGCGUAGGCGGUGCGGAAAGUUGGGUGUGAAAUACCUCGGCUUAACCGAGGAAUUGCGCCCAAUACUACCGUGCUUGAGUGAGACAGAGGUGAGCGGAACUUAGGGUGGAGCGGUUAAAUGCGUUGAUAUCCUAAGGAACACCGGUGGCGAAAGCGGCUCACUGGGUCUUGUCUGACGCUGAGGCACGAAAGCCAGGGUAGCGAACGG
Molecule: ribosomal RNA, 421 nt
Filed under: uncultured bacterium
Lineage: Bacteria
Description: bacterial SSU rRNA
Rfam family: Bacterial small subunit ribosomal RNA
Source: RNAcentral